Molecule: ribosomal RNA, 468 nt
Filed under: uncultured bacterium
Lineage: Bacteria
Description: partial 16S ribosomal RNA
Rfam family: Bacterial small subunit ribosomal RNA
Source: RNAcentral
GACGAACGCUGGCGGCGUGCUUAACGCAUGCAAGUCGAACGGAAAGGCCCUGCUUUUGUGGGGUGCUCGAGUGGCGAACGGGUGAGUAACACGUGAGUAACCUGCCCUUGACUUUGGGAUAACUUCAGGAAACUGGGGCUAAUACCGGAUAGGAGCUCCUGCUGCAUGGUGGGGGUUGGAAAGUUUCGGCGGUUGGGGAUGGACUCGCGGCUUAUCAGCUUGUUGGUGGGGUAGUGGCUUACCAAGGCUUUGACGGGUAGCCGGCCUGAGAGGGUGACCGGCCACAUUGGGACUGAGAUACGGCCCAGACUCCUACGGGAGGCAGCAGUGGGGAAUAUUGCACAAUGGGCGGAAGCCUGAUGCAGCAACGCCGCGUGCGGGAUGUCGGCCUUCGGGUUGUAAACCGCUUUCGCCUGUGACGAAGCGUGAGUGACGGUAAUGGGUAAAGAAGCACCGGCUAACUACGUG